Molecule: ribosomal RNA, 169 nt
Filed under: Rectipilus fasciculatus
Lineage: Eukaryota; Fungi; Basidiomycota; Agaricomycetes; Agaricales; Porotheleaceae
Description: partial large subunit ribosomal RNA
Rfam family: Eukaryotic large subunit ribosomal RNA
Source: RNAcentral
CGGGAAAAGCUCAAAUUUAAAAUCUGGCAGUCUUUGAUUGUCCGAGUUGUAAUUUAGAGAAGUGUUACCCGUGCUGGACCGUGUACAAGUCUUCUGGAAUGGAGCAUCAUGGAGGGUGAGAAUCCCGUCUUUGACAUGGACUACCAGUGCAUUGUGGUAUGCUCUCAAC